RNAcentral lists this long non-coding RNA (214 nucleotides) under Populus tremula. Its description in RNAcentral is "long non-coding RNA (PTRE_LNC000052)". The record is from RNAcentral. Lineage: Eukaryota; Viridiplantae; Streptophyta; Magnoliopsida; Malpighiales; Salicaceae.
UUUCCCACACUUAAUAUCAUUGAUUUGUAAACUUAAUCGCAACUCAAAAGAAAAAAAGAGGAUCUUUUUGUGCGUGGCCUGUUUUGGAUUGGAUUGAUCGUUUUCUCAUUGGGUCAAGAGUGAAGAUGUCUGAUGGUACCUUUUCAAUCCACAUCUGUGGGGAGAUUGUAGUGGUUGGAUCUCCGAGCGCCACUGUCUAUGGAAGAAUAACAGC